This is a small RNA of 290 nucleotides. It matches the Rfam family "5' ureB small RNA". The record is from Rfam.
CGUCCUCGAUCUGCUGCGGGCAGAUGAAGUGGAUAUGGCUGUCCAUGCCGCCGGCAGUAAGGAUGCGCCCCUCGCCCGCGAUCACCUCGGUGCCGGGGCCGACGAUGAUGUCGACGCCGGGCUGGGUGUCGGGGUUGCCGGCCUUGCCGAUGGUCUGGAUGCGCCCGUCGCGCAGGCCGACAUCGGCCUUGUAGAUACCUGUCCAGUCGACGAUCAGCGCGUUGGUGAUGACGGUAUCGACGGCGCCGUCGGCGCGCGUCGUCUGGCUCUGGCCCAUGCCGUCGCGGAUG